UGAAAGCAGAUACAGGAAACUCUGUCCCUGGAUUUUUGGUCAAGACUCCUGCUUCUAUGGCCUGGGCUCCCUGGCCCUGCUUGUCCCCGGGUUCCUUGGUUGGCGUCUUCACCCCCUGAUGUGACAGUGCCGACUCUCAGCCCCAGGCUCAGGGCCUCUGCCCUGCUUCCCCCCACCCCCUCCCC
Long non-coding RNA from Pipistrellus kuhlii (Kuhl's pipistrelle), 185 nucleotides. RefSeq lists it as uncharacterized. The record is from RefSeq and is a predicted model, not a curated record. Lineage: Eukaryota; Metazoa; Chordata; Mammalia; Chiroptera; Vespertilionidae. The transcript is spliced from 3 exons.